AAUAGAUACCCAGGUAGUCCCAGCUGUAAACGAUGCGCGUUAGGUGUAUCGGUGACCACGAGUCACCGAGGUGCCGAAGGGAAACCGUGAAACGUGCCGCCUGGGAAGUACGGUCGCAAGGCUGAAACUUAAAGGAAUUGGCGGGGGAGCACCACAACAGGUGGAGCCUGCGGUUUAAUCGGACUCAACGCCGGGAAGCUCACCGGGUAAGACAGCUGAAUGAUAGCCGGGUUGAAGACUCUGCUUGACUAGCUGAGAGGAGGUGCAUGGCCGUCGUCAGUUCGUACUGUGAAGCAUCCUGUUAAGUCAGGCAACGAGCGAGACCCACGCCAACAGUUGCCAGCAUGUCCUCCGGGAUGGUGGGGACACUGUUGGGACCGCCUCUGCUAAAGAGGAGGAAGGAAUGGGCAACGGUAGGUCAGCAUGCCCCGAAUUAUCCGGGCUACACGCGGGCUACAAUGGUCAGGACAAUGGGUAUCAACACCGAAAGGUGAAGGCAAUCUCCUAAACCUGUCCUUAGUUCGGAUUGUGGGCUGCUAACCG
This 543-nucleotide ribosomal RNA is filed under the name uncultured bacterium. RNAcentral's name for it is "bacterial SSU rRNA". It matches the Rfam family "Archaeal small subunit ribosomal RNA", at positions 728 to 1270 of the family's 1478-position model. The record is from RNAcentral.